This 551-nucleotide ribosomal RNA is filed under the name Enterobacter asburiae. RNAcentral describes it as "partial 23S ribosomal RNA". It matches the Rfam family "Bacterial large subunit ribosomal RNA", at positions 1 to 583 of the family's 2925-position model. RNAcentral also lists the same sequence under 1 other name. Lineage: Bacteria; Pseudomonadati; Pseudomonadota; Gammaproteobacteria; Enterobacterales; Enterobacteriaceae. The record is from RNAcentral.
GGGUUGUGAGGUUAAGCGACUAAGCGUACACGGUGGAUGCCCUGGCAGUCAGAGGCGAUGAAGGACGUGCUAAUCUGCGAAAAGCGCCGGCGAGGUGAUAUGAACCUUUGACCCGGCGAUGUCCGAAUGGGGAAACCCAGUGCAAUUCGUUGCACUAUCGUUAACUGAAUACAUAGGUUAACGAGGCGAACCGGGGGAACUGAAACAUCUAAGUACCCCGAGGAAAAGAAAUCAACCGAGAUUCCCCCAGUAGCGGCGAGCGAACGGGGAGCAGCCCAGAGUCUGAAUCAGCUUGUGUGUUAGUGGAAGCGUCUGGAAAGUCGCACGGUACAGGGUGACAGUCCCGUACACGAAAGCACACAGGCUGUGAACUCGAAGAGUAGGGCGGGACACGUGGUAUCCUGUCUGAAUAUGGGGGGACCAUCCUCCAAGGCUAAAUACUCCUGACUGACCGAUAGUGAACCAGUACCGUGAGGGAAAGGCGAAAAGAACCCCGGCGAGGGGAGUGAAAAAGAACCUGAAACCGUGUACGUACAAGCAGUGGGAGCACC